CGUAAAAAAAAACCCUUAGCGACGAGGGAAAGAAGAUGGGCGUAAAUGAUUUGAUCACUAGGGUUGAUUUCAUCUGUAAGAAGUACGACAAGUAUGAUAUCGAUAAACAGAGAGAAGCUAAUGUCUCCGGCGACGAUGCUUUCACUCGUCUCUACUCCGCCGUCGAAUCUGCUCUCGAAACCGUUCUUCAGAAAACGGAGGAUUUGUCGUCUGAAGCGAACAGGGCAAAAGCUGUGGCGAUGAACGCGGAGAUUCGUAGAACGAAAGCUAGAUUGCUCCAAGGGAUUCCAAAGCUUCAAAGGCUUUCUCUUCAAAAGGUGAAAGGGAUCUCAAAGGAAGAGCUUGAUGAUAGAAAUGAUUUGGUUUUGUCUUUGAGAGAUAAGAUUGAUGCCAUACCAGAAGCCUCUGCUCCUUUAAGUGCUUGUGCAGCUUCAACUUCAUACUCCAACAUCAGAUUCGAUAACAAUGUCUCUGGUCACAGAAUCGACAGUGAAUAUUUCCGGCAAACUGAAGAGUCUGAUCAGUUUAAACAAGAAUUUGAGAUGAGAAGAAUAAAACAGGAUCAAGGAUUGGAUUUCAUAGCUGAAGGACUGGACACACUCAAGAACAUGGCUCAGGACAUAAACGAGGAACUUGAUAGACAAGAGCCACUCAUGGAUGAAAUAGAUACAAAGAUUGACAAGGCAGCUACUGACUUGAAAAGCACUAAUGUGAGGCUCAAGGAUACUGUAACAAAGGUGAUAACUCACACAUUAAUUCCUCUGAACUCGAGAUCGAGACCAGUCUCAUUCGAUAUAAACAAGCCCAUUGGUUUAUCUUUAAUUAAUCCAGAUGAGAUCAAGCCGUAACUUCUGCCUAGACAUCAUCCUCUUAUGCAUACUCUUGGGAAUCGCCACCUUCAUUUACAACUCGGUGAAGUAAAUGCUAAGCCGCUGUAUAUACAUACGCAUAGAAGCUUGUUUAUGUUAGAGUCAAAAGAGGGAAGUUUCACUUUUCAUCUGUCUACUAUACAGC
Eutrema salsugineum is the source of this 1014-nucleotide RNA transcript. It is a transcript of the gene named syntaxin-73, with no coding region annotated. The record is from RefSeq and is a predicted model, not a curated record. Lineage: Eukaryota; Viridiplantae; Streptophyta; Magnoliopsida; Brassicales; Brassicaceae. The transcript is spliced from 8 exons.